Molecule: ribosomal RNA, 254 nt
Filed under: uncultured bacterium
Lineage: Bacteria
Description: partial 16S ribosomal RNA
Rfam family: Bacterial small subunit ribosomal RNA
Source: RNAcentral
UACGAAGGGGGCUAGCGUUGCUCGGAAUUACUGGGCGUAAAGGGCGCGUAGGCGGACAGUUUAGUCAGAGGUGAAAGCCCAGGGCUCAACCUUGGAAUUGCCUUUGAUACUGGCUGUCUUGAGUUCGGGAGAGGUGAGUGGAAUGCCGAGUGUAGAGGUGAAAUUCGUAGAUAUUCGGCGGAACACCAGUGGCGAAGGCGGCUCACUGGCCCGGUACUGACGCUGAGGUGCGAAAGCGUGGGGAGCAAACAGGG